This is a long non-coding RNA of Mangifera indica (mango), 1055 nucleotides long. RefSeq lists it as uncharacterized. NCBI's taxonomy places the organism in Eukaryota, Viridiplantae, Streptophyta, Magnoliopsida, Sapindales, Anacardiaceae. The record is from RefSeq and is a predicted model, not a curated record. The transcript has 2 exons.
UGAGAUCUUUUCUCUUGAUUCUUUUGAGAACUCAUGAACUUAUUAAGAAUAUUUUCUAAUGGAAUUUAAAUAUGACUUGUUAUUCUCCUUCUUUUCUAUUCUAGAGAGUGGCGUCAGCUUAUACCUUUGGUUCAUGUCAAUUAUAGACAUUGGGUCAAUGUUUUUGUACUUUUGGUUCAUGAUUAUCUAUAAUCAUUAGGCCGAGGUUUUUAUACUUUUGGUUUGUGUUAAGUAUAGACAUUGGGUCAAGGUUUUCUUUCACUUAUAUAAAUCUAAUUUAAUUUUUUUGGGUUCUUAGCUUCCUUGCUUAUGUGUAGGGUCUAAUAGUUUAUCUAUGAGUGUAAUAUCCACAGGUGUGUUUAAGGUUAUUUUAGUUUUUUUAGCAUUUUUCAUGUGUGAGGUUGUGCUUGAGAAGCGUUUAUGCGAUUUGUGGCAUGUAGAGCCGUGUAUGAGAGGCUACACACCUAUGUAUGAUGUGGCAAAGAUGGCAAAAUAGACUUUUUGCAUAUAGUAUAUUUUGGUCAUUUUUGGCUAGGAUACACGUCCGUGUAAGUGGGAAUCUAGUCAAUAAAUUUUGAAUUUUGAGAUAAAGAUAUAUUUUAUGGGAAUCUUGCAAUGUGGCUUUAAUGUUUGAUAAUUGGCGUACACGCUUAUGUAUGUUUGUUUGAUCUGAAAAUAAAAACAGUCACAGAAGAGGUAGCUUUCAUUUUUUCUCAAAAUCUUGUUAGCAAAACAUGAGAGAAAAGAGGAUUGGAGAGCGCUAGGGUCAUAUUUUGCUAGGAGAAAAGGUUUUGGGAGUCGUUCAAGCCAUAGGAAGACUAGCAUUAUCGUUUUAUCAAGGUUCUGGAGCAACAAAAUAGUGGCGGGGAGACUAGUGGAAUGACUCGUUUUGAUACAUAAGGGCAAGGGACUUGGAUGAUAUUCAUUGUUAUUUGUAAACCAUUCAUUACACUUUUAUGGAUUCUUUACAUAUAUUAAUGUAUGUGAAUUUGACUGUUAUUGGUUUAGAUUGAUUUGUAUGAACUUAGACUUACAUUUAGAUGCUUUCAUUCAAA